Molecule: non-coding RNA, 46 nt
Filed under: Trichobilharzia regenti
Lineage: Eukaryota; Metazoa; Platyhelminthes; Trematoda; Strigeidida; Schistosomatidae
Source: RNAcentral
GUAUUACUGAAGGGUCUCAAACUGGGACGAAACAGCUGUCCAGUAC